CCUAUGCUGCAGCUCAUGGAAAUGCCAGAUCCUUAACCCACUGAGCAAGGCCAGGGAUCAAACCCACAUCCUCAUGGAUACUAGUGAGGUUCUUAACCCACUGAGCCACAGCGGGAACUCCCCAGAAAUGACAAACUAGGAAAUUUACUCCAUCCAAAAAAUCAAGUACAGUAAACAAAGUUGGCCUGUCAUGUCUGUUUGUUGUAUUUUCUAACAUGCUUUUUCUUCUAUUACCUGUCAAUUGUAAAAUUGUGUUUCCUAACCAUAAGGAGCGCAAAACUAUGGUAUAGGAACAUUCACACGGGUUUUGGUAUUUUUCUGUUUCUUCCCUGUCAGCGUUCUCCCCAUUGCCUGUGUACUCAGGAACACAGUGGUAUUCUCUAUCUUUCUCUUCGGCCCUGCCUUUCAGGUUCUUACAGCCGUAGUGGUUUGUCCAUGUGCAUCUUUGCCUCCUGGGAGGCUGCUGCUGUUUGAUGUUUGUGCUGCAUAUACUUCUCCUGACAGCAUAGGAUCUCUGCACUGUGCUGGUGUGCAGAAUUCCUCAUGUGCCAGGUGUGUAUGUUGCUUUCUCUGGAGCCCUGUAGAAGCAGGCUGUGUUCCCUUAGUAAAUCCAGCUCUUCCUACCACCCAAAAGUAGAUUUGUUAUAAUCCACUAAAUGGAUCCAGAAGUUUUCCUGCCUUGUACUCUGAGUGUCUCAAAAAGGUUUUUUUGAGCACUGUCUUGUUUUCUUGAUCUUGGUAUAUAGCACCUGCUAUCUAGAGCCCUCAGACAAGUCCCAGGUAGAACGAGGAAGAAGACACAGCAUAGGCUCAAAGGCAUCCAGAGAACAAGAUGCCUUGAUGAUACUUUCCCUUCUCACGAGUACCUAUGGCCCUUUUUUCCCCUUAGGAUGAUUACUAACUUUGGAGUCUCCAUAGCAGUAAUAGAGACAGUCUCCUGGCAGACUAGACAUGCUUUAAAGUAAACGUAAUUUGGCAUAUAUAAUUCCACAGUGCUAUUUUUUUUUUAAAUUUUCACUUUCUUUUAAAGCCAGCAAAAUCUCCUUUAGAUGCACAUGUACAACAUAUAAAUGGCUGAGCUGCUCUAAAUGAAGCAGGUUGAGGAGUCCUGCAGUCAGCCCUUCCCCUGAGGCUCCUUCAGAGCAUGCUAUAGGUUCUUGGAGAUUACUGAUCUCUAGCUCCCUUGUUUUAUAGAUGAGCAGUCGAAUGCCCACGGGAUUAAUCCAUAUCCAUCAGUUCUUUCCGGGCCAUACCAAACUUUUUCUAAACUGUCUUUGACUAAUCCCAUUUUCUCCUUUGUGAAGCAUGGUGGAAGUUUCUUUCCUGUAGCAUUUUGUGUGCACAUAUCAUGUAAUAUUUGUCAUUUUCUCUUAUACUUAAAUGUUUUACUGUCUCCCUCAUAGUCCUUAACCACAAAGAGUCUGUUUUUGUUUUUGUUUUUUAAUUUAGUUUCGAUCCUCAGUGCCUGGUGUGAUCCUAUCAUGUGUUAGGUGGUUAAUUACUGUUACAUUAAAAUGAAUAAAUUUAUUUCAUACUUUUCUUGGAAAUUAUGUAUUCAGUUUGUGAAGUGUCAUUUUGCGUUGGUGAAAUGUUAGUUUCUUCUGGUUGACUUAUGAGUUUAUGUGAGCUAGCUCUCCUUCUUCAACUAGAUUAUCACUCUUUUAAAACCUUCUAAGUCUACCCCUCACCAUAAAACUCAGCAUAAUAGAAGCACUUUGAUAAACUAAAGAGAAUCUUGUAAAGAAUAUCAUGAUACUACUGCUUUAGUCCCUUCUUAGUUCCUCUUAAAAUAUUCCUAACAUUGACAAGUUAACAGUGAAAAGUGCUUCUUCUUUCAUGAGGCCAGUGCAGAGAGAGACAGUGUAUAGCUAAAAUCACUGGAUUUGUAUCCAGGAUCUACCUCCUGUAAGCUUUUGACCAUGGGUGUGUUACUGAAUCUCUCUGACUCAUAAUCUGUCAUCUAUAAAUAAUAUCUAUCACAUUGUAAUAUAUAAAUGAAAUAACAUAUUGUAUCUAGCAAUACAUGUGCUAUAAUUAAUAAAUAUUUAAAUGAUGAAUGUGCAUAUAUGUAUAACUGAAUCACUUUGUUGUACAGCAGAAAUUAUCACAUUGUAAAUCAACUAUAUUUCAAUAAAACUUAAAAAAAUUAAUGAUAGCUGUUGUCAUAUACACGCAGAUGUCAGUGAUGAAUAUUUGAUUAUCUUUUGCAGUCAUUGUAUAUCUUGUCAUUGUUAUUGUUUUUCAUUUUUUAAACCUUUAUUGAAGUAUAGUUGAUUUACAAUGUUGUAAUAAUUUCUGCUCUAUAACACAGUGACUCACUUAUACAUAAACACACAUCCAUUCUUUUUCAGAUUCUUUUCCCAUAUAGGUUAUUAUGGAAUAUUGGGUAGCAUUCUCUUGCUAUACAGCAGGUCCCUGUUGUCAUAUACAAGCCAUAUAAAAGGCCGUGUGGUGAAGAAUGACUGAUUAGAAUAUCUUUUGCAAUCAUUAUAUAUCUUGUCAGACAUUGUUACUGUGUUUUUCAAGUAGUUAACAAUAAUAUCUUGAACUUGUGUAUUGCUUUGUUUUAAACAACCUGUUUCAUUAAAAUUCAAAGGGCACAAUAGACAUUUUUAAAGGUUUGCAGUGCAGGGUAUCAAACAGCUAAGGGCAGGCAAUUAAGAUAAGCAUGAUGAUCCUGUCUACUUUUUAGAGGUUUUCAACUUGAAAGUAUACCAAGCAAGGACUUCUGGCACAUUAAGGCAGAUCAAAUCUUUGGCCAUUUUCUUCUUGCUGUUUAUGAAUUACCUUCAGGUCAAUAAUUACAAGCAUAAACCUAAGUAUACCAUAUAAGAUACACUUUAUAAAUCUUCCUAAAUUGAAAUUAAUAGAGCACUAGGUUGAGAUUUAGGUGCUAUGAACUAGUUUUGAGUCCAACAAAGUUUAGCAGAGUAACCUUGGAAAGGUCAGAGUUAAUUCUGACUUUUUUUUAUGCAUUUAGGAUACUUUAUACAGAAAACUUUUCAACAAAGCUCCCAGCCUUCCAUAUAAGAUCUCAUCUACAACAAUUUUCUAAUCUUCGGUAUUCUGAAUUUAAAUUUGAAACUAUUAAGUACCCUAAAAUUAGUUAGUUAUGACAAUACUUUUUUUUUUUUAAUUUUGUUACUAAGAUUUUAAUGUUUGGAGCGAUUUACUGACCAACUAUUUCAGAUAUUUCACCAAAAUUUGAAUACAUUUUAAUAAAAAUACAAAGCAAAUGUAAACACUUUUAAAAGUGUAAUUAUUUUCAGGUUAUUUUCCUUCUAAUAUAUGCAAAAUUAUCUAUUGAUGCAAAAGGCAGACACUCUUCAGCUGCUAUGUGCAACUCUUGCAAAUACCGUAUUAAUUUUGUGAGUACCUCCAAAACCACAAAUUAAAACAUGAAGUAAGAAAAUGGACCUUGGCACUCUUGGGAAAUGAUACUUGGCUAAGCAGGGAUUUAUUGCAUUCAUGAUAUUUGAGAGGGAGGAUUUGACAAGUUAAUUAAUUUGUCUUUUCUCUUACCUAAGUGCUUUCAUCGCUCAAAUCCUACUGAAGCUCCAAAGCAGUAUCUAUCUCUGUCUUCAGCAGCUGCCUAGCCCACAAACCUUUAGGGCAUUCUGACAUAAUCCCCUUUUGUUUUGAAGAGGAAGGGCAAGAGAUGUGGAGAAGCAUUUCCUUGGGGCUUGAAGAGUAUUACUUGUGAGAGUAGAUAUUCAGGGUCAUGAGUCACACUGUCAGUGUGAGCCCCAGAUCUGAGCUGCAGAAGGCAUGAUACCUGUUCUUCAGUGGAUUUGAUUCAGGCUGUUUGUGAUUUCAGGAUUCUCUGAAACACAGAGUCUGUGGCAGUGUGUCCCCUCUUUCCAAGAUCCGAGGGUGGCACUGCUUGAGUACCCCAGUUGCAGGAGCAGAACUGGAUGUGCUGAGAUAUCAAAGCUAUGCAUGUGACCUCUGCAGGAUUACUGUUAUUAAAGUGUUAUUUGGGGUAGCAGGUAAAAUGCAGAAGUUAUUACUGAGUUGGCUUCUUUGGAGCUAAUUUAUAUGUCUGCCAGCCAGACUGUGGAAAUAUAUGAACAAAUAUCACUGUAAGAUAAAAGUUUGCUGUUCAUGAACAAAUAACCUCUAGUGUGCUUCUGAGCAUCUUGGAGAUAUUUUCUUGGCUGUAGCCAUUGCUGUGAUGUUUGCAUAUAGUAAUUAUUAUUGUCGAACAUUUAGUAUUUCUGAGCAGUGAACUAAGCAUUGUGUUUUUAACCUCAUUUCUAGUAUAGAAAGUCAAAAAGGAAGUAAUGUAACUUUGGGGCUUAGUGUUGAUUCAAAAAUCAACCAAUACAUGGGAGCUAUUUCACAUACUUUUCUGGUAUUUGCUUCCUGUAACAUUGCUUUCAAACUCAGUUCUCAAGAUACUAAAAUGGAGGAAAGGCACUAGAAAUCUGGACAAAUUUCUUUCUCUUCCAGUAUUAUCAUAAACUGUGAUAUAUAUUUUAUAUUUAAAGCUGAUAAAAUAAUCAGCUAAUUCAUAUUGUGGUAUACAGAAUGGACCCUGACAUAAUAAUGCAUGAUAAUCACAAAAUUUUAUUUGUUCAAGCGGAUAUUGACAUUUAUUUUGUGCUUGACUCUACUUAAAACUCAUUGUAUCUAUAUUACUAAGAUUUCCAGUAAAUGCUCUGAGGUCAGUUAGUGUUGAGUGCUUAGAGAUCAUUUCUCCAAAGAGAUUUUUUUAGGAAAUACUUAUAUUAAACCAGCAUAUUUUAUAAUAAACUGAAUAUGUGAGUGAUAAUAGUGUCAUUACCAAGUAAAAAAUUUUAUAACUAAUUGAAUAUGCUUCUGUGAUUAAGAAUAUAAGUUAUCAUUUCUGUGUAAGGUGUUACGGCAGCAUAAUUUUUGUCAGGUAGUGUAUUUAUCUAGAACACACGCAUCUGUUUUUGUUUUGCUUGUCCAAUUUCCAAGGGCAUAUUUCUGGACUUUAGUCCUCUGUCUGAUUUGUGUCCUACCUUAUUGAAAAAAAAAAAA
RNAcentral lists this long non-coding RNA (5007 nucleotides) under Sus scrofa (pig). RNAcentral's name for it is "lncRNA (ENSSSCG00040059802.1)". The record is from RNAcentral. Lineage: Eukaryota; Metazoa; Chordata; Mammalia; Artiodactyla; Suidae.